AACGCGUAGGAAUGUACCCCAAAGUGAGGGAUAAGCACCAGAAAUGGUGUCUAAUACCGCAUAUGGUCUAAGGAUUAAAGCCUUCGGGCGCUUUGGGAACAGCCUGCGUAAGAUUAGCUAGUUGGUGAGGUAAUGGCUCACCAAGGCUACGAUCUUUAGCUGGUCUGAGAGGAUGAUCAGCCAGACUGGGACUGAGACACGGCCCAGACUCCUACGGGAGGCAGCAGUAGGGAAUUUUCCACAAUGGGCGAAAGCCUGAUGGAGCAACGCCGCGUGCAGGAUGAAGGCCUUCGGGUCGUAAACUGCUUUUGUUUGUGACGAUUAUGACAGUAGCAAAUGAAUAAGGGUCGGCUAACUACGUGCCAGCAGCCGCGGUCAUACGUAGGACCCGAGCGUUAUCCGGAAUGACUGGGCGUAAAGAGUUGCGUAGGUGGCUUGUUAAGCGAGCAGUGAAAUCGUACGGCUCAACCGUACGGCUAUUGCUUGAACUGACAGGCUUGAGUGCGAAAGAGGUAACUGGAAUUCCAAGUGUAGGAGUGAAAUCCGUAGAUAUUUGGAGG
This 560-nucleotide ribosomal RNA is filed under the name uncultured bacterium. RNAcentral's name for it is "bacterial SSU rRNA". It matches the Rfam family "Bacterial small subunit ribosomal RNA", at positions 112 to 704 of the family's 1533-position model. The record is from RNAcentral.